GGGGAUUAGCUCAGCUGGCUAGAGCGCCUGCCUUGCACGCAGGAGGUCAUCGGUUCGACUCCGAUAUUCUCCACGAU
RNAcentral lists this transfer RNA (77 nucleotides) under uncultured Flavobacteriia bacterium. Its description in RNAcentral is "tRNA-Ala". It matches the Rfam family "tRNA". From Rfam's summary of the family: Transfer RNA (tRNA) molecules are approximately 80 nucleotides in length. Their secondary structure includes four short double-helical elements and three loops (D, anti-codon, and T loops). Further hydrogen bonds mediate the characteristic L-shaped molecular structure. tRNAs have two regions of fundamental functional importance: the anti-codon, which is responsible for specific mRNA codon recognition, and the 3' end, to which the tRNAs corresponding amino acid is attached (by aminoacyl-tRNA synthetases). tRNAs cope with the degeneracy of the genetic code in two manners: having more than one tRNA (with a specific anti-codon) for a particular amino acid; and 'wobble' base-pairing, i.e. permitting non-standard base-pairing at the 3rd anti-codon position. The record is from RNAcentral. Lineage: Bacteria; Pseudomonadati; Bacteroidota; Flavobacteriia.